GAAACUUUGCGUACAAUUGGUUCUCUUUAAAUGUCUGCAAUAUAAUUCUCAGAUGUUCCACACAUAGCCUCAUACUAUCGUCCUUCUUCUUCACUAACAAAACUAGCGCACCCCAUGACGAAACACUCGGACGAACAAACUUCUUUUCAAGUAGAUCUUCUAGUUGCUUCCUCAAUUAGACGAAACACUCGGACGAACAAACUUCUUUUCAAGUAGAUCUUCUAGUUGCU
This 230-nucleotide long non-coding RNA is filed under the name Lathyrus oleraceus (garden pea). RNAcentral describes it as "Pisum sativum (pea) long non-coding RNA (PSAT_LNC020306)". The record is from RNAcentral. Lineage: Eukaryota; Viridiplantae; Streptophyta; Magnoliopsida; Fabales; Fabaceae.